UGGGGAAUAUUGCGCAAUGGGCGAAAGCCUGACGCAGCCACGCCGCGUGAGUGAUGAAGGCCUUCGGGUCGUAAAACUCUGUCGGGAGGGACGAAGGGGCAACCCUGACGGUACCUCGCAAGAAAGCACCGGCUAACUCUGUGCCAGCAGCCGCGGUAAUACAGAGGGUGCAAGCGUUGCUCGGAUUUAUUGGGCGUAAAGCGCACGCAGACGGUAUGGAAGGUCGGACGUGAAAUCCCUGGGCUCAACCUAGGAACUGCGUUCGAAACCACCAAACUAGAGUUCGGAAGAGGGAGGCGGAAUUCCUGGUGUAGAGGUGAAAUUCGUAGAUAUCAGGAGGAACACCAGCGGCGAAGGCGGCUUCCUGGUCCGAUACUGACGUUCAGGUGCGAAAGCGUGG
Molecule: ribosomal RNA, 400 nt
Filed under: uncultured bacterium
Lineage: Bacteria
Description: bacterial SSU rRNA
Rfam family: Bacterial small subunit ribosomal RNA
Source: RNAcentral